AGCUUUGCGCAGUGGCAGUAUCGUAGCCAAUGAGGUUUAUCCAAGGUGCAAUUAUUGCUAAUUGAAAAAUAAUAAUUGUAUAAUGGGGUAUGGUGUGAUGUUUUAAUACAUGAGUAUAUUGUGGAAUG
This 128-nucleotide small nuclear RNA is filed under the name Fukomys damarensis (Damara mole-rat). Its description in RNAcentral is "U4 spliceosomal RNA". It matches the Rfam family "U4 spliceosomal RNA". From Rfam's summary of the family: U4 small nuclear RNA (U4 snRNA) is a component of the major U2-dependent spliceosome. The structure of U4 snRNA from yeast and human has been reported. Lineage: Eukaryota; Metazoa; Chordata; Mammalia; Rodentia; Bathyergidae. The record is from Rfam by way of RNAcentral.